GGCCAUAUUACAUUGAAGCAUCAGUUCUCAUACAAUCACCAGAGUUAAGCAAUGUCAAGCCUGGUUAGUAUUUAGAUGGGUGAUUGCUUGAGAAUACUAAGUGCUGUAAG
This is a non-coding RNA of Acanthosepion pharaonis, 110 nucleotides long. Lineage: Eukaryota; Metazoa; Mollusca; Cephalopoda; Sepiida; Sepiidae. The record is from the annotation of a GenBank genome assembly.